CUAUUACAACUGCUCUGCCAUGGUAAGCAAGGCAGCUCGCCAGGAGAAGCGGUUUCAGGACUAUAAUGAGAGGUGCACUUUCCAUCACCAGGCGCGGGAGUUUGCUGUGAACUUGCGGAACCGGGUGUCUGCCAUCCAUGAAGUGCCCCCGCCCAGAUCCUUCACCUUCCUCAAUGAUGCCUGCCAGGGACUGGAGCAGGCUCGGAAGGUGGUAGCGGGUGGGGGAAGAGAGCAGGGGAGGGGUGUGCCAAAUGGGUCUGGGGGGCUUGGCUGCUUUCAUCGGACUUGCCUGGAUGAAGGGAAUGAGGAGAGGGCAGGCGGGAGAGCUGAUGGGAGCCCCUGCAGGUGCUGGCCUACGCCUGCGUGUACAGCUUCUACAGCCAGGACACAGAGUACAUGGAUGUGGUGGAGCAGCAGACAGAGAACCUGGAGCUGCACACCAAUGCCCUGCAGAUCCUCCUGGGUGAGCCACCCCUGCCAGCCAGGCCCUCCUCCUGCCUCCUCUCCUCUGCUGCACAGCCUGGUCCCUCCCAGACAGGUCAAGCGGCACCCUUACCUUCCCUC
Molecule: small RNA, 564 nt
Filed under: Pan troglodytes (chimpanzee)
Lineage: Eukaryota; Metazoa; Chordata; Mammalia; Primates; Hominidae
Description: retained intron
Source: RNAcentral